RNAcentral lists this ribosomal RNA (502 nucleotides) under uncultured bacterium. RNAcentral describes it as "partial 16S ribosomal RNA". It matches the Rfam family "Bacterial small subunit ribosomal RNA", at positions 29 to 523 of the family's 1533-position model. The record is from RNAcentral.
AUUGAACGCUGGCGGCAUGCCUUACACAUGCAAGUCGAACGGCAGCACGGGGGCAACCCUGGUGGCGAGUGGCGAACGGGUGAGAAAUGCAUCGGAACGUAUCCUCUUGUGGGGGAUAACCAGUCGAAAGACUGGCUAAUACCGCAUGAGAUCGCGAGAUGAAAGCGGGGGAUCCGCAAGGACCUCGCGCGAGAGGAGCGGCCGAUGUCCGAUUAGCUAGUUGGUGGGGUAACGGCCCACCAAGGCGACGAUCGGUAGCUGGUCUGAGAGGACGACCAGCCACACUGGGACUGAGACACGGCCCAGACUCCUACGGGAGGCAGCAGUGGGGAAUUUUGGACAAUGGGCGCAAGCCUGAUCCAGCCAUGCCGCGUGUGUGAAGAAGGCCUUCGGGUUGUAAAGCACUUUCGGACGGAACGAAAUCGCGCGGGCGAAUAUCCCUCGUGGAUGACGGUACCGUAAGAAGAAGCACCGGCUAACUACGUGCCAGCAGCCGCAGUAA